UACGAAGGUGGCAAGCGUUGUUCGGAUUUACUGGGCGUAAAGCGUGCGUAGACGGUUAUGUAAGUCGGGUGUGAAAGCCCCGGGCUCAACCUGGGAAUGCCAUUCGAGACUGCAUAGCUAGGGUGCGGAAGAGGGAAGCGGAAUUUCCGGUGUAGCGGUGAAAUGCGUAGAUAUCGGAAGGAACACCAGUGGCGAAAGCGGCUUCCUGGUCCAGCACCGACGUUCAGGCACGAAAGCGUGGGGAGCAAACAGG
This 253-nucleotide ribosomal RNA is filed under the name uncultured bacterium. RNAcentral describes it as "partial 16S ribosomal RNA". It matches the Rfam family "Bacterial small subunit ribosomal RNA", at positions 524 to 776 of the family's 1533-position model. The record is from RNAcentral.